RNAcentral lists this unclassified non-coding RNA (425 nucleotides) under soil metagenome. RNAcentral describes it as "partial contains 5.8S ribosomal RNA, internal transcribed spacer 2, and large subunit ribosomal RNA". The stretch from base 1 to 120 matches the Rfam family "5.8S ribosomal RNA", at positions 35 to 154 of the family's 154-position model. The record is from RNAcentral.
GAUGAAGAACGCAGCGAAAUGCGAUAAGUAGUGUGAAUUGCAGAAUUCCGUGAAUCAUCGAAUCUUUGAACGCACAUUGCGCCUUCUGGUAUUCCGGAAGGCAUGCCUGUUCGAGAGUCAUUAACAACCGUUUCGAUCCCUUUCUUUCAGAAAUUACAAAGAGGAAAAGGGUUUGGUUAUGGUGGAGGAGGGAAAGGGAGCGUUUAGCCUGUAAAAAAAGAGGCUGUGUUCCGCCGCCCAACCAAAAUUGUACAGGCGGUCGUGUGCUCCCACGCAUCGAGGUGUUGUAAAAGCUGCCACGGCACUUUUCACCUGUGCAGUGCGAGAUUGGCCAGCCGGUUUAAAAACCCCUCCAAACAAUCAAAGGUUGACCUCGGAUCAGGUAGGGAUACCCGCUGAACUUAAGCAUAUCAAUAAGCGGAGGA